UAGAUUUACAACAGAAUUCUCUUCUGCACGUGGCAGCCGCUGCACAGAGUGGCAGCUGAGAUCCCUGGCAGCUCAGCACAGCAUGAGGCAGCGGAUGGCCCCUGCUGAUGACAGACUCUCAGGUGAACCCAGGAGCUAAAAGUGUUGCUGAUCGGGAAUCACGAUGCUGAUUGUGAACUUGACUGGAUCUGGAGUCAACUAAGACGCAUGCCUCUGUGCAGGUCUAUGAGGACAUUUCCCGGAAGUAUUAACUGAAGUACCCAGCAGAGUCCCAUCAUACUCCUCUCGCUGGUCCAGGACAAAGAUUAUCCACGUGUUUUAAAGACUCUCGCCUGCAUCUUCAAAAUCUUCAAAUGGGGCAGGAAACAGCUACCAACAAUUACUAAGAGUGGGCCUGGAAGAUGAGAUUUGUGGACAGUCUCUGGGGAGUUUGAUGUUCUGAGGAGUUUGAUGCUCCUGGCUCCUGGGAAGAAUUACUUAAGUAUGCUAAUAAACUGAAGAAGACGAAAAAGGUUUCUUUUUUCCUUCCUGGCUCCCCCAUUCUGAAUGACGGUAUGAGCAUUCUCAGG
This is a non-coding RNA of Peromyscus maniculatus bairdii (prairie deer mouse), 569 nucleotides long. The record is from RefSeq and is a predicted model, not a curated record. NCBI's taxonomy places the organism in Eukaryota, Metazoa, Chordata, Mammalia, Rodentia, Cricetidae.